Molecule: long non-coding RNA, 286 nt
Filed under: Carica papaya (papaya)
Lineage: Eukaryota; Viridiplantae; Streptophyta; Magnoliopsida; Brassicales; Caricaceae
Description: long non-coding RNA (CPAP_LNC004120)
Source: RNAcentral
UAGGCUAAGAUGAUAAAUAAGGGUGCUUAAUGGGAGGCAACCCAUUUGGUUUUUUCGUUCUUUUUAUCUCCUUUCUUCUUCUUUUCUUUAUUCUCAUGUUUGUCAAUUGUCAAUGCCACUUUAGCUCAUGUUUUUCUCCCUUAUUGCAGGAUAUUAAAGGACCUACUCGAGGCUAUUACACACUCGAACAAGGAUCAUGUGAACCGCAACUGAUAUCAAGAGGAAAAGAAUUACCCUUGCCCAAGGGUUAAUCACACAAUGAUGCUUGAGCGGCCAUUUGGCGUUC